This 651-nucleotide ribosomal RNA is filed under the name Limosilactobacillus fermentum. RNAcentral's name for it is "bacterial SSU rRNA". It matches the Rfam family "Bacterial small subunit ribosomal RNA", at positions 24 to 632 of the family's 1533-position model. The record is from RNAcentral. Lineage: Bacteria; Bacillati; Bacillota; Bacilli; Lactobacillales; Lactobacillaceae.
UCAGGAUGAACGCCGGCGGUGUGCCUAAUACAUGCAAGUCGAACGCGUUGGCCCAAUUGAUUGAUGGUGCUUGCACCUGAUUGAUUUUGGUCGCCAACGAGUGGCGGACGGGUGAGUAACACGUAGGUAACCUGCCCAGAAGCGGGGGACAACAUUUGGAAACAGAUGCUAAUACCGCAUAACAACGUUGUUCGCAUGAACAACGCUUAAAAGAUGGCUUCUCGCUAUCACUUCUGGAUGGACCUGCGGUGCAUUAGCUUGUUGGUGGGGUAAUGGCCUACCAAGGCGAUGAUGCAUAGCCGAGUUGAGAGACUGAUCGGCCACAAUGGGACUGAGACACGGCCCAUACUCCUACGGGAGGCAGCAGUAGGGAAUCUUCCACAAUGGGCGCAAGCCUGAUGGAGCAACACCGCGUGAGUGAAGAAGGGUUUCGGCUCGUAAAGCUCUGUUGUUAAAGAAGAACACGUAUGAGAGUAACUGUUCAUACGUUGACGGUAUUUAACCAGAAAGUCACGGCUAACUACGUGCCAGCAGCCGCGGUAAUACGUAGGUGGCAAGCGUUAUCCGGAUUUAUUGGGCGUAAAGAGAGUGCAGGCGGUUUUCUAAGUCUGAUGUGAAAGCUUCGGCUUAACCGGAGAAGUGCAUCGGAAA